Molecule: long non-coding RNA, 1674 nt
Organism: Mobula hypostoma (lesser devil ray)
Lineage: Eukaryota; Metazoa; Chordata; Chondrichthyes; Myliobatiformes; Myliobatidae
Exons: 3
Source: RefSeq, a predicted model, not a curated record
UACAGAGGAUGCCUGAACUGAAUUGCAAACUCUGACCCCCACCCCCCCCAGGCUGUAAUAGUGUUGUGCUAACCAUUACACUACCAAGGUGCUCUAAGAUUCUACUCUAUGUCUGUAUGACUAUUAUUUUAAUACAACCCAGAGAUUUGGGCACGUCAUAUUCCUUGAAGUUUCCAUUUGAUGUGAAAGUCAUUCUAUGAUGAGAACAAUCAUCAGCUUUAUGAACUGAGUGGUACUAGACGGGUACUGCCUAUGAUGAGUGCGCUGAUAUAUUGCGCUGUGACAGGUUUCAAGAUUGCUAAUCCCCACCGCAGAAGCCAGUAUCUUCACGUUAGAAACUUCUCUCAGAAACGUGAUGGUGAAAGUGAACAUUCCCUGGGCUCACAGCACUCUGAAGUAAAUAGCUGAUGUGAUAUUUACGUUUUCUGCUUUUUUUUUGCUAAUUCAAUUAAAUCUCAAAUAUGUCACAUGUCAAAUUAGUCAAUGUUUGUUUAUCUGUUUACUUAGAGAUACCGCACGCUAUUCAAUCUACCUUAAAUAUUCAUAUAUUUUUUAUCCCAACAAUGGUUACAUCCCGACACGCGAGACAGAAGCAAGGUCGCAUUGUGUAUUCCACGGACCAGCAAAGACCGGCCAGCUUAGCGAACAGAGCGGUGGACACCCCUGCUGAAAUCCUGAGGAAAUCACACAGGGGGGAUCACAAGGCCGAGGAAAGAGGACCGGGUCAAGACAACAGAGACUUUUGGAGAAGAGGAGUUCAGUGGGUAAUACCGUUCCGCCUGACUGGAAGUGCACUGAUAGCGGUAAGCGUAAAGGAGUUGGGUGCUUACUGAUCUGGUUAACAACGGAUGGUGCAAUCCGGGGCAUAUUACGAUCGAGGAACGUGUUUGCAGACUGGAUAUUGAACUUUUUACUGUUGGACUUCAGCCACAUUCCACUGUGAUACAACACUUGGCGGCACGGGAGGUCGUUCCUGCCUGUGGCCAUCUAACGUGCAGCUCCUCCCGUGGAGGGUCAGACACCCUGAGCCAAUAGACUGGUCCUGGACUUACUUUCCAUCUGGUCCAAUAACUCAAUACAUCUGUUACACCACCCCGAGAAGAGUUCCCAGAGCCUGGCACACGAGGCACUCUGAGUGAAGUCAAGCCCAUGAUUGGAAUUUGCUGUAACUCUGCCAUGGCCAGUCCCAAGCCCGGCUGCGACAGGAGGAGGGUUGGGCAAGGGGCGAGCAGCCCCAUCCCAUAAAAACCCAGAGCUACAGAAACACCAAGAGAAGCUCCAAAGUCCUCAUCCCUGAGACAAGGGUCUUUGCCUGGAAGGCGUAUGAAGUCAUGUGGUGGAAUCAGAAGCCUCAGGGCUGAUUGACCUUAUAGAGAACUCUGGUGAGCUGCUGUCUCCGGCCUCCACCCCAGUCGGGGUGAUGGGCUCAACAAGAAGGAGGAAUUUACUGUGCUGUGUUUGACAUGAUUAAAAAAUAACAUUCAACAAUAAUAAAGAAUAAAGAAUUAUAUUAAAAUAAUGUUAGGGGUACAGAUAUGGAAUAAAUAAAUGCCAGCAUGUACUUACAACGUGAACAGUAUUUUAAAAAAUAGUUUAAAACAUUUACAGUGCAGUGCAGUGAGUGAGGUAAUAGAUGGAGAGUGCUAACAUCUAACAUCUUUCUCAAAUGAUCCA